RNAcentral lists this ribosomal RNA (253 nucleotides) under uncultured bacterium. Its description in RNAcentral is "partial 16S ribosomal RNA". It matches the Rfam family "Bacterial small subunit ribosomal RNA", at positions 524 to 776 of the family's 1533-position model. The record is from RNAcentral.
UACAGAGGGGGCAAGCGUUGUUCGGAAUUACUGGGCGUAAAGCGCGUGUAGGCAGCUCGGAAAGUCGGGUGUGAAAGCCCUGGGCUCAACCUAGGAAGUGCACUCGAAACUUCCGAGCUGGAGUGCUGGAGAGGAAGGCGGAAUUCUCGGUGUAGAGGUGAAAUUCGUAGAUAUCGAGAGGAACACCGGUGGCGAAGGCGGCCUUCUGGACAGUAACUGACGCUGAGACGCGAAAGCGUGGGGAGCAAACAGG